Molecule: ribosomal RNA, 638 nt
Filed under: uncultured bacterium
Lineage: Bacteria
Description: bacterial SSU rRNA
Rfam family: Bacterial small subunit ribosomal RNA
Source: RNAcentral
AGCUUGCUUUUGAUGGGCGUCGACCGGCGCACGGGUGAGUAACGCGUAUCCAACCUGCCCACCACUUGGGGAUAACCUUGCGAAGGUAAGACUAAUACCCAAUGAUAUCUCUAGAAGACAUCUGAAAGAGAUUAAAGAUUUAUCGGUGAUGGAUGGGGAUGCGUCUGAUUAGCUUGUUGGCGGGGUAACGGCCCACCAAGGCAACGAUCAGUAGGGGUUCUGAGAGGAAGGUCCCCCACAUUGGAACUGAGACACGGUCCAAACUCCUACGGGAGGCAGCAGUGAGGAAUAUUGGUCAAUGGACGAGAGUCUGAACCAGCCAAGUAGCGUGCAGGAUGACGGCCCUAUGGGUUGUAAACUGCUUUUAUAAGGGAAUAAAGUGAGUCUCGUGAGAUUUUUUGCAUGUACCUUAUGAAUAAGGACCGGCUAAUUCCGUGCCAGCAGCCGCGGUAAUACGGAAGGUCCGGGCGUUAUCCGGAUUUAUUGGGUUUAAAGGGAGCGUAGGCCGGAGAUUAAGCGUGUUGUGAAAUGUAGAUGCUCAACAUCUGCACUGCAGCGCGAACUGGUUUCCUUGAGUACGCACAAAGUGGGCGGAAUUCGUGGUGUAGCGGUGAAAUGCUUAGAUAUCACGAAGAACU